Molecule: ribosomal RNA, 274 nt
Filed under: uncultured bacterium
Lineage: Bacteria
Description: partial 16S ribosomal RNA
Rfam family: Bacterial small subunit ribosomal RNA
Source: RNAcentral
AUACGGAGGGUGCAAACGUUACUCGGAAUCACUGGGCGUAAAGCGCGCGCAGGCGGUCUUUUAAGUUGGAUGUGAAAGCCUACGGCUCAACCGUAGAACUGCAUCCAAAACUAUUAGACUAGAGUGUGGGAGAGGAAGAUGGAAUUAGUUGUGUAGGGGUAAAAUCCGUAGAGAUAACUAGGAAUACCAAAAGCGAAGGCAAUCUUCUGGAACACUACUGACGCUGAGGCGCGAAAGCGUGGGGAGCAAACAGGAUUAGAAACCCUAGUAGUCC